Long non-coding RNA from Numida meleagris (helmeted guineafowl), 1198 nucleotides. RefSeq lists it as uncharacterized. The record is from RefSeq and is a predicted model, not a curated record. The transcript has 3 exons. Lineage: Eukaryota; Metazoa; Chordata; Aves; Galliformes; Numididae.
UCUGUAGGAAGGUAAAAUAAAGGGAGAUUUCUGCUCUCACCUCUUCUUUCAGUAAGCAGAAAAAAACUUUAGCAGAGCAGCUAUUCUCUGCUCCUCCUUGAAGAAGAGAAGCUUUCUUAUUAAGCUUGUCCACACAACAGUAAAGCCUGAAUUUGACAUCUUCUUCUUAGGCUGCCAACAUCAAAGAGCAAAAGAGCACAGGUUUUGACUAUACAGGGCUGAAAACAAAGACAUCCAAACCUUGAGCUAAACAGAAGAGGAAGAAGCCAAAAUCUUUGCCAGAGGUUUGACUGCUGGGUUUACUCAUGGCUUCAGCUGUCACCUUCAGAAAUAUGAGACCUCUCAGAUCAGGCCAUUAAUCCUGCUUCUCCCAGUGGAGUGUGACUCGUCUGGUGGGACAGGUUUGAUUGCAACUGGUUCUUCAGGCUGUCAUGACUGUGAAAGCAGACUUCAGCUGCACAUGCAGAUACCUCGGAUCCUGCUACUGCCUAAACCUAUUGAUCUGUUAUUGAGCUCGGCACCAACCGCUGGUUUAGCUCUAAAGAAGUUCAGCCUCUGCAGGCAGCUGGGAAGCAAGGCGGACUCAGAAAAGAAGUGGAUGCUCCAUCUCAUCAUAGAAUAACAGAAUAUUCCAAGUUGAAAGGGACCCAUAAGUAUCUAUCAUCAAGUCCAACUCCAGGCAUCACACAGCACCGCCCAAAAAUAAUGACCUAGCCUAUUCAAAGGAGAGAAUUCCUGCAGGAGAAAAACAAGCCAAAACAAACAAAAAAUCCCAACAAACUCACACCUGGAAAAUGCUGCUCCAUAUAGCCCCAACUGUCUUGUCCUGCUUCUAAGAGGUGUCAUGUGGCUGUUACAGAGACGUGCCCGAAAAUGGUGUUAUUAAGAGGACCAGGUGUUUGUUCAGGAGGCUGUGGGAUGCAGCCAUUCCUUGGGCACUACAGAUAUAUUUACAGCAUUAAAAGGUCAAACAAUCCCUUCAUUCCCUGUUUGCUUCAGAGAGUUUUGUUGAACAUUCUCAUUAUUCGUUGCGGUAUUUCUUUGGUUUAAGAGGAUUUCUCUGCACAACCAUAGUUAUUAGAAUGCAGUGUGUGUGCAGUGAAUGUGUUAUUACUAUAACAAGCUUCUCCUCAUAGUAGAUAUUUAUUCUGAGUGUGAGGCUUUUAGUUCAGUUGUGUGUGUGGCAGAGCAGGCGAGA